Molecule: ribosomal RNA, 447 nt
Filed under: uncultured bacterium
Lineage: Bacteria
Description: partial 16S ribosomal RNA
Rfam family: Bacterial small subunit ribosomal RNA
Source: RNAcentral
AGCGAACGCUGGCGGCAGGCCUAACACAUGCAAGUCGAACGCCCCGCAAGGGGAGUGGCAGACGGGUGAGUAACACGUGGGAACGUACCCUUUGGUUCGGAAUAACUUGGGGAAACUCAAGCUAAUACCGGAUAAGCCCUUAUGGGGAAAGGUUUACUGCCGAAGGAUCGGCCCGCGUCUGAUUAGCUAGUUGGUGAGGUAAUGGCUCACCAAGGCGACGAUCAGUAGCUGGUCUGAGAGGACGAUCAGCCACACUGGGACUGGGACACGGCCCAGACUCCUACGGGAGGCAGCAGUGGGGAAUAUUGGACAAUGGGGGCAACCCUGAUCCAGCCAUGCCGCGUGAGUGAUGAAGGCCUUAGGGUUGUAAAGCUCUUUUACCAGGGACGAUAAUGACUGUACCGGGAGAAUAAGCCCCGGCUAACUUCGUGCCAGCAGCCGCAGUAA